Molecule: unclassified non-coding RNA, 292 nt
Filed under: rhizosphere metagenome
Description: partial ribosomal RNA internal transcribed spacer region
Source: RNAcentral
GUAGGUGAACCUGCGGAAGGAUCAUUAUUGAAAUAAAUCUGAUGAGUUGCUGCUGGUUCUCUAGGGAGCAUGUGCACGCUUGUCAUCUUUAUAUCUCCACCUGUGCACCUUUUGUAGACCUGGAUCUCUCUCUGAAUGCUAGCAUUCAGGAUUGAGGAUUUGACUUCAUGUCUUUCCUUCCAUUUCCAGGCCUAUGUUUCUUCAUAUACCCCAAUGUAUGUCGUAGAAUGUAAUCAAUGGCCUUUGUGCCUAUAAACCUAUACAACUUUCAGCAACGGAUCUCUUGGCUCUC